ACUCUUAACAAAACAGUGUCUUAUAAUUUUACUUCUAAGCCAAAAUCAUUCUUUUACAUGGAAUAAAAUGAAUAUUGCAGAAAACUCCAAAAGACUUUGGCUGUUUUACUGUUUGGGUAUUGGUGAAACAAUCAUCUGUCACUUAAUGACCUUCAGUCAACAAUAGACCACAUAUACGAUGGUGGUCCCAUAAGAUUCUAAUGGACCUGAAAAAUUCCUGUCACCUGGUCUCCUAGUGUCCUUUUCUGUGUUUAGACAUGUUUAGAUACACUUACCAUUGUGUCACAGUUUGCCUGCAGUAUUCAGUAUGGUAACGUGCUGUACAGGUUUUGUAGCCUAGGAGCAAUAGGUUAUACCAUAUAGUCUGGGUGUGUGGUUAUACCAUCUAGGUUUGUGUAAGUACCCUCUAUGAUGUUAACACAGUGACAAAAUUGGCUAGCAACACAUUUCUCAGAAUGUAUCCCUGUUGCUGAGCGACACAUGACUGUACCUGUUUCAGUAGAAUGGAUUGGGUAUGUUUUCUGUGGUGUAGUGGGAUGCUGUCAUUUUCCAUAAACUCCUCAGUGUCUCUGGAGCUGUACACUCAGUAGUGAUCAAAGAAGGAGAAGACUGCUCAUCUACAAAGACUACAGCACAUCUCUUCUAGCUAUUUACUGUCACAUUGAGGCAGCUAUGGAAUUAAAGGAUUUUCUAAGGAACCUGCUUAAUCUAGUCAUCCCAUCAGCAUGUCAGCACGUAGGCUUCGUGAAGGCAGAGGCUCUCUGCUAAACCACUGGAGCCCACAUGUAAAGCAGUUCUUGGCACUUAGAAAGUACUGAAUAAAUAUUUGGGUUUUUGUUGUUGUUGUUUGAGACGGAGUCU
Long non-coding RNA from Homo sapiens (human), 861 nucleotides. RefSeq lists it as uncharacterized. The record is from RefSeq and is a predicted model, not a curated record. Lineage: Eukaryota; Metazoa; Chordata; Mammalia; Primates; Hominidae. The transcript has 2 exons.